UACGGGGGGGGCAAGCGUUGUUCGGAAUUACUGGGCGUAAAGCGCACGCAGGUGGCCGAGUCAGUCGAUUGUGAAAGCCCUGGGCUUAACCUGGGAAUUGCAGUCGAUACUACUCAGCUAGAGUAUGGGAGAGGGCAGUGGAAUUCCCGGUGUAGCGGUGAAAUGCGUAGAUAUCGGGAGGAACAUCAGUGGCGAAGGCGGCUGCCUGGCCCAAUACUGACACUCAGGUGCGACAGCGUGGGGAGCAAACAGG
RNAcentral lists this ribosomal RNA (253 nucleotides) under uncultured bacterium. RNAcentral describes it as "partial 16S ribosomal RNA". It matches the Rfam family "Bacterial small subunit ribosomal RNA", at positions 524 to 776 of the family's 1533-position model. The record is from RNAcentral.